ACAACUUUUAACAACGGAUCUCUUGGCUCUCGCAUCGAUGAAGAACGCAGCGAAAUGCGAUAAGUAAUGUGAAUUGCAGAAUUCAGUGAAUCAUCGAAUCUUUGAACGCACCUUGCGCUCUCUGGUAUUCCGGAGAGUACGCCUGUUCGAGUGUCA
RNAcentral lists this ribosomal RNA (156 nucleotides) under uncultured Cantharellaceae. RNAcentral describes it as "5.8S ribosomal RNA". It matches the Rfam family "5.8S ribosomal RNA". Rfam says of the family: 5.8S ribosomal RNA (5.8S rRNA) is a component of the large subunit of the eukaryotic ribosome. Lineage: Eukaryota; Fungi; Basidiomycota; Agaricomycetes; Cantharellales; Hydnaceae. The record is from RNAcentral.